UACGUAGGGACCAAGCGUUGUUCGGAUUUACUGGGCGUAAAGGGCGCGUAGGCGGCAUGACAAGUCACUUGUGAAAUCUCCGGGCUUAACCCGGAACGGUCAAGUGAUACUGUCGCGCUAGAGUGCGGAAGGGGCAAUCAGAAUUCUUGGUGUAGCGGUGAAAUGCGUAGAUAUCAAGAGGAAUACCUGAGGUGAAGACGGGUUGCUAGGCCGACACUGACGCUGAAGCGCGAAAGCCAGGGGAGCAAACGGG
RNAcentral lists this ribosomal RNA (253 nucleotides) under uncultured bacterium. RNAcentral's name for it is "partial 16S ribosomal RNA". It matches the Rfam family "Bacterial small subunit ribosomal RNA", at positions 524 to 776 of the family's 1533-position model. The record is from RNAcentral.